GCUUCUUUUUCCACCGGAGCUUGCUCCACCGGAAAAAGAGGAGUGGCGAACGGGUGAGUAACACGUGGGUAACCUGCCCAUCAGAAGGGGAUAACACUUGGAAACAGGUGCUAAUACCGUAUAACAAUCAAAACCGCAUGGUUUUGAUUUGAAAGGCGCUUUCGGGUGUCGCUGAUGGAUGGACCCGCGGUGCAUUAGCUAGUUGGUGAGGUAACGGCUCACCAAGGCCACGAUGCAUAGCCGACCUGAGAGGGUGAUCGGCCACAUUGGGACUGAGACACGGCCCAAACUCCUACGGGAGGCAGCAGUAGGGAAUCUUCGGCAAUGGACGAAAGUCUGACCGAGCAACGCCGCGUGAGUGAAGAAGGUUUUCGGAUCGUAAAACUCUGUUGUUAGAGAAGAACAAGGAUGAGAGUAACUGUUCAUCCCUUGACGGUAUCUAACCAGAAAGCCACGGCUAACUACGUGCCAGCAGCCGCGGUAAUACGUAGGUGGCAAGCGUUGUCCGGAUUUAUUGGGCGUAAAGCGAGCGCAGGCGGUUUCUUAAGUCUGAUGUGAAAGCCCCCGGCUCAACCGGGGAGGGUCAUUGGAAACUGGGAGACUUGAGUGCAGAAGAGGAGAGUGGAAUUCCAUGUGUAGCGGUGAAAUGCGUAGAUAUAUGGAGGAACACCAGUGGCGAAGGCGGCUCUCUGGUCUGUAACUGACGCUGAGGCUCGAAAGCGUGGGGAGCAAACAGGAUUAGAUACCCUGGUAGUCC
Molecule: ribosomal RNA, 757 nt
Filed under: Enterococcus faecium
Lineage: Bacteria; Bacillati; Bacillota; Bacilli; Lactobacillales; Enterococcaceae
Description: bacterial SSU rRNA
Rfam family: Bacterial small subunit ribosomal RNA
Source: RNAcentral